This 674-nucleotide ribosomal RNA is filed under the name Aureobasidium pullulans. Its description in RNAcentral is "eukaryotic LSU rRNA". The stretch from base 329 to 482 matches the Rfam family "5.8S ribosomal RNA". Lineage: Eukaryota; Fungi; Ascomycota; Dothideomycetes; Dothideales; Saccotheciaceae. The record is from RNAcentral.
UCUUGGCUGCCCGAUUCCCUGGGAGGUUUUUUGCCAUUAUGGGGAACGUUAAUUAAAGACAACGAGCAGAAUGUUACCUGCAUAGGUACAAGCUGGAAGGUAUCAAUGUAACAAGGUUUCCGUAGGUGAACCUGCGGAAGGAUCAUUAAAGAGUAAGGGUGCUCAGCGCCCGACCUCCAACCCUUUGUUGUUAAAACUACCUUGUUGCUUUGGCGGGACCGCUCGGUCUCGAGCCGCUGGGGAUUCGUCCCAGGCGAGCGCCCGCCAGAGUUAAACCAAACUCUUGUUAUUAAACCGGUCGUCUGAGUUAAAAUUUUGAAUAAAUCAAAACUUUCAACAACGGAUCUCUUGGUUCUCGCAUCGAUGAAGAACGCAGCGAAAUGCGAUAAGUAAUGUGAAUUGCAGAAUUCAGUGAAUCAUCGAAUCUUUGAACGCACAUUGCGCCCCUUGGUAUUCCGAGGGGCAUGCCUGUUCGAGCGUCAUUACACCACUCAAGCUAUGCUUGGUAUUGGGUGCCGUCCUUAGUUGGGCGCGCCUUAAAGACCUCGGCGAGGCCUCACCGGCUUUAGGCGUAGUAGAAUUUAUUCGAACGUCUGUCAAAGGAGAGGACUUCUGCCGACUCGACAACCUUAUAUUCUCUAGGUGACCUCGGAGCUCUAAGAAAGGUAUUUAAG